This is a long non-coding RNA of Saccostrea echinata, 596 nucleotides long. RefSeq lists it as uncharacterized. The record is from RefSeq and is a predicted model, not a curated record. NCBI's taxonomy places the organism in Eukaryota, Metazoa, Mollusca, Bivalvia, Ostreida, Ostreidae. The transcript is spliced from 3 exons.
UAUAAACUUUCUCCAGGGAGUGGAAAUCUAACAUAUUAUGAAUAUAGCGAUAUUACUAUUAUAGUAAUUACAGAGUCGAUCUGGUAUUCAGGUGCUUGGGUCUUUGCUCAUGAAUAUGUACAAUAACUACAUGAACUAUGUACAUUAUGUAAUAAAUAAAAAGAUAUAAAGGUAGCGUACACAUGAACAAAGACCCAAGCACCUGUGAUUGUGUAAUUUUGUGUAGAAGGGGAAUUAAAUGAUAAAUUAAUUACCUUAGUUUAACUUUUACCAUGCAGUAGUCAGUAGUUGCAUUUAUAAUAAUUUGUUCUUUUUCUUAUUGAUAUUAAAGGAGAAGACCUCAUUCGAGAAUACUUUUAUGGUGGAUACACAAAUCUGGAGAUAUGUGGUAUCCUGCUCUUGCGACACAAAAUAGUAAUAAGUGUGAGACAUCUGAAAAGGAUAAUGGCAAUGAUGGGACUUAAAAGACGGAUGCUGCAAAACACUGUUGAGGCAUCUUGUGUUAUCAUGGAAGAACUGCAGGGAAGUGGUUCUUCUCUUGGAUGUCGUGGAUUACAGCGUCGUCUUUUAUCACAUCAUGGACUUGUGGUUUCAAG